CACAAACAUAAUGCACUAUUUAUUUAUCUAUCAUAAAUACUUGAUUCAUUUAGAAGACCCCAGAUCCUCUAGGGACUGUAGAAAAUCUAAAAGUUGUUCCUAAAUGAUAAAGUAAAUGGUUGAGUUUCUGAGCUGCCUGGAUACUAGGUAAUAAAAAGCAACACAAAACCUACAAAAAUACAAUCACACAAUUUGUUAUAUGGGACAUAUACUUGCCUACUCAACAUCACGGCCAGCACACACCCCAAAUUUUGCCAAGUGUAAUGCAUUAAAUGUCAGUGCAAAUUGGCACAAUGCUGCCAAAUCAGCACAUACAAAGUCUGGGGGGUUACUGUUAGAGGAUUUUGUGUGAGGACUAAUGUCUUAAAGUCACUGAAAAAUAAAGAUUUUUUUUUUAGAUUAAGAUUAUUCACCAUCUUUAUCUGUUACUUUUUCUUCAGCAGUGCUUCCAGACAUUUGAAAAUGGCUAUGACUGUCAGAAAGAAUGGAAGAUGCAGAUAGACAGAGACAAUAAAAUGUAGAUAGGUAGACACAAUAUACUCACAGAUCAAAGCUUAUACUUUUUUUUCCUGCAUUGAUAGCGAUUCUGAUCUCCAGUUUUUGGAGGAACUAGUAUUUAGCAGCCCAUUGGAAAAUGGCCAAGCAAUAUUUCAGUUUGAUUUAUUGUUUUAGAUGCAAUGCCUUGGAAUAGAAAUCUGAUUUGGCUCUCAGAUUAAGAAAACAGUACUGAGUGAAAAUGUUAAUUAGGCUCCUCAUGGCCACUUAACAUAGCAGUCUUCUGUUUCAAAGAGCAGUUCUUUCUGUGCCACAAGAAGCUGCAUCAAUUCAGAGUGGCACCUUUCCUUGGAGACUUCCAGCAGCAAAACUGUAUUAGAAAAUGAUUCCCUGAGGAAGUUUGGAUGAAAAGUUAUUGAGAGAUGAUCAAUGCGCUGCCACUUUUUCAGCUUGGCUUUUCUGACUGAAACAACUGAUUCUGAUUGCAAACAGAAUUACAAUGCCAGAGUUAGAGUUGCCUAUGUCUCCAGCUUAAUAAACAGAGCAAAGAAACCCUGGCACAAUGCACAGCGCAGAACUGGAGCCGAGUCACUGACAGCUACUGCCUCCAGUGAGGGAAAAUACAUUGAAGAUUUCCAGGUAAGAAAAGGAUUUGGAGCUUUGCCAUACCACCAGCAUCCAUAAGAUACAAGUGAGACUGCUAUAUAUGAUGUAAACAAAGAAGAUUAUGCUGUCUAAAUAUAUCCACUUAUUUGUUUCUUUUGCUGCCUUCCAAGCUCUAAAUUCCACUGUUGACAAAGUGAUCUAAAUAUUGAAAAUAAUUAUUUUCACAUGCAUGCAAAAUAUGACUUAGCUGUAGUAGGAGGAGGACUCAGAGCAGUUUACCAAUAUAUUUUAUGGGCACAAAACUGAAACUUACAAACCUAAGAUUUUAAAAGUUUAUAAUUAGUUUUUGAAUAUGCCAGAAUAAAAUAUGUUCACAAAUUAUUCACAAUUUCAAUUACUUACAUGGAAAAAAAAAUACUUGUAAAUUGACUUUUUUGUUGUUGCUUUCAUUGAGAUUUUACUUCUGUGUUCAAAUAUGAUUUAGUAUUUGCUACCUGAAAUUAGAAAAGUAUCCCUACUGGAAUGUAUUUUUUUUUUCUUUAAUUAGUCAAGUCAAAAUGUGUAAGGUCUGUG
This 1674-nucleotide long non-coding RNA is filed under the name Catharus ustulatus (Swainson's thrush). RNAcentral describes it as "lncRNA (ENSCUSG00005001133.1)". The record is from RNAcentral. Lineage: Eukaryota; Metazoa; Chordata; Aves; Passeriformes; Turdidae.